Molecule: RNase P RNA, 452 nt
Filed under: Oryzisolibacter propanilivorax
Lineage: Bacteria; Pseudomonadati; Pseudomonadota; Betaproteobacteria; Burkholderiales; Comamonadaceae
Description: Bacterial RNase P class A
Rfam family: Bacterial RNase P class A
About the family: Ribonuclease P (RNase P) is a ubiquitous endoribonuclease, found in archaea, bacteria and eukarya as well as chloroplasts and mitochondria. Its best characterised activity is the generation of mature 5'-ends of tRNAs by cleaving the 5'-leader elements of precursor-tRNAs.
Source: Rfam by way of RNAcentral
GAAGCCCGCCAGACCGCCGCUGGUGCAUGUGCCGAAAGGCCGCACUGGAGGAACGUCCGGACUGCACAGGGCAGCGUAGCAGCUAACGGCUGUCCACCGCGAGGUGAGGAUCAGAGCAACAGAGACGAGUCGGGGCACGGCCCGCCGCCGAAGGUGUUCUAUGGGGUGUCAGCGCAAGCUGGCGCUGGCUGGCGUUUGAGCCAGCCAGUUCACGGCGCAAGCCGGGAAACCCCAUAGCCACCCGAAGCGCGGACGCGCUCCGGGUGAAACGGGCAGUCUCUACGCGCAGCAACACCAAGUAGGCACACGUUGACGGGGCCCCCGGAGUGUGCGGGUAGGUGGCAUCGAGCCGGGUGGGCGACCCCCGGCCCAGAGUAAUGGCGGUCACAUCCGCGCGGCCCGCCAAGGGGUGCGCGGAUGCACAGAAUCCGGCUUAUCGGCGGGCUUCACAA